Molecule: ribosomal RNA, 446 nt
Filed under: uncultured bacterium
Lineage: Bacteria
Description: partial 16S ribosomal RNA
Rfam family: Bacterial small subunit ribosomal RNA
Source: RNAcentral
CCACGGGUUGCACCAGUGGGGAAUUUUGCGCAAUGGGCGAAAGCCUGACGCAGCGACGCCGCGUGGAGGAAGAAGGUCUUCGGGUUGUAAACUCCUUUAGUACGGGAAGAAGCCUUCGGGUGACGGUACCGUAAGAAUAAGCCACGGCUAACUCUGUGCCAGCAGCCGCGGUAAGACAGAGGUGGCAAGCGUUGUUCGGAUUUACUGGGCUUAAAGGGCGUGUAGGCGUCCUGACAAGUCAGAUGUGGAAGCCUUGGGCUCAACCCAAGAAGUGCAUUUGAAACUGUCAGGAUUGAGUCAUGCAAGGGAAGGCGGAAUUCCUGGUGUAGCGGCGAAAUGCGUAGAUAUCAGGAGGAAGGCCGGUGGCGAAGGUGGCCUUCUGGGCAAUGGCUGACGCUGAGGCGCGAAAGCGUGGGGAGCAAACAGGAUUAGAUACCCGUGUAGUC